Molecule: ribosomal RNA, 1541 nt
Filed under: Escherichia coli
Lineage: Bacteria; Pseudomonadati; Pseudomonadota; Gammaproteobacteria; Enterobacterales; Enterobacteriaceae
Description: bacterial SSU rRNA
Rfam family: Bacterial small subunit ribosomal RNA
Source: RNAcentral
AAAUUGAAGAGUUUGAUCAUGGCUCAGAUUGAACGCUGGCGGCAGGCCUAACACAUGCAAGUCGAACGGUAACAGGAAACAGCUUGCUGUUUCGCUGACGAGUGGCGGACGGGUGAGUAAUGUCUGGGAAACUGCCUGAUGGAGGGGGAUAACUACUGGAAACGGUAGCUAAUACCGCAUAACGUCGCAAGACCAAAGAGGGGGACCUUCGGGCCUCUUGCCAUCGGAUGUGCCCAGAUGGGAUUAGCUAGUAGGUGGGGUAACGGCUCACCUAGGCGACGAUCCCUAGCUGGUCUGAGAGGAUGACCAGCCACACUGGAACUGAGACACGGUCCAGACUCCUACGGGAGGCAGCAGUGGGGAAUAUUGCACAAUGGGCGCAAGCCUGAUGCAGCCAUGCCGCGUGUAUGAAGAAGGCCUUAGGGUUGUAAAAGUACUUUCAGCGGGGAGGAAGGGAGUAAAGUUAAUACCUUUGCUCAUUGACGUUACCCGCAGAAGAAGCACCGGCUAACUCCGUGCCAGCAGCCGCGGUAAUACGGAGGGUGCAAGCGUUAAUCGGAAUUACUGGGCGUAAAGCGCACGCAGGCGGUUUGUUAAGUCAGAUGUGAAAUCCCCGGGCUCAACCUGGGAACUGCAUCUGAUACUGGCAAGCUUGAGUCUCGUAGAGGGGGUAGAAUUCCAGGUGUAGCGGUGAAAUGCGUAGAGAUCUGGAGGAAUACCGGUGGCGAAGGCGGCCCCCUGGACGAAGACUGACGCUCAGGUGCGAAAGCGUGGGGAGCAAACAGGAUUAGAUACCCUGGUAGUCCACGCCGUAAACGAUGUCGACUUGGAGGUUGUGCCCUUGAGGCGUGGCUUCCGGAGCUAACGCGUUAAGUCGACCGCCUGGGGAGUACGGCCGCAAGGUUAAAACUCAAAUGAAUUGACGGGGGCCCGCACAAGCGGUGGAGCAUGUGGUUUAAUUCGAUGCAACGCGAAGAACCUUACCUGGUCUUGACAUCCACGGAAGUUUUCAGAGAUGAGAAUGUGCCUUCGGGAACCGUGAGACAGGUGCUGCAUGGCUGUCGUCAGCUCGUGUUGUGAAAUGUUGGGUUAAGUCCCGCAACGAGCGCAACCCUUAUCCUUUGUUGCCAGCGGUCCGGCCGGGAACUCAAAGGAGACUGCCAGUGAUAAACUGGAGGAAGGUGGGGAUGACGUCAAGUCAUCAUGGCCCUUACGACCAGGGCUACACACGUGCUACAAUGGCGCAUACAAAGAGAAGCGACCUCGCGAGAGCAAGCGGACCUCAUAAAGUGCGUCGUAGUCCGGAUUGGAGUCUGCAACUCGACUCCAUGAAGUCGGAAUCGCUAGUAAUCGUGGAUCAGAAUGCCACGGUGAAUACGUUCCCGGCCUUGUACACACCGCCCGUCACACCAUGGGAGUGGGUUGCAAAAGAAGUAGGUAGCUUAACCUUCGGGAGGGCGCUUACCACUUUGUGAUUCAUGACUGGGGUGAAGUCGUAACAAGGUAACCGUAGGGGAACCUGCGGUUGGAUCACCUCCUUA